This is a long non-coding RNA of Mustela erminea (ermine), 714 nucleotides long. RefSeq lists it as uncharacterized. The transcript is spliced from 5 exons. Lineage: Eukaryota; Metazoa; Chordata; Mammalia; Carnivora; Mustelidae. The record is from RefSeq and is a predicted model, not a curated record.
GAACCCCAAGACAAGCAGGCUUUAGGACUCUGUAUCAUCUCCCUGCUAAGAAACUGCUGCAGUCACAGAAAGGAAGAUUGAAGCCUGUAGGGAAUCCUUCAGCUGCGGACUGUGAAGUUGGGCAUCAGAAGACUAACCCCCAUUCACCACACCCUGGAGAAAUAAGCCCUUCUUGCUGGGAAAGAAACUGAGUCAAUCUACAUUAGGAAACACAGAAAGAGAAAGUUUGGUGAAGAGAAAAAAAACAAACUGUGAAACUCAGUUGGAGGAAGUCCAUAAAUAUUUGUUAAAUAGUGUGGAAUUUUAUGUAAGAAGAAAUAGGAACCAGAGCGAUCAUGUGAGUUCCUCAAGCUAUCAGAAGAAAUAUCACUCCUUAUUGUGAGAACAAUAUGUAACUCUGUUUAUUGAAAGGACCCUCAUGAAUGCCUGUUAGGAAGCUAAGUAAUGCAAGUCACUCUCUGAGCUGUCACUUCAUCAGAGGAUGCUUUGGUUGCGGAAUGGAGCAGAUGUUCUGCUACAUUUGUGUACUUUAAACACACUGAAAGCAUAAAGCCAGACUAAGAGCACUUGUUGGUGAAUGGAAGAUGCAAGUAAAGAUGAAAAGGCUAGAGCCACAGGAAGAAUGACAGCUAGCAGGUUGUGGAGACCAUUUGGCUGGAAUACAUUUAAAGGACCCAAAUGGUAAUGGUAACAAUGUCUUGCACAAUAGCCAGU